Molecule: ribosomal RNA, 468 nt
Filed under: uncultured bacterium
Lineage: Bacteria
Description: partial 16S ribosomal RNA
Rfam family: Bacterial small subunit ribosomal RNA
Source: RNAcentral
GACGAACGCUGGCGGCGUGCUUAACACAUGCAAGUCGAACGGCAAGGCCCUGCUUUUGUGGUGUUCUCGAGUGGCGAACGGGUGAGUAACACGUGAGUAACCUGCCCUUGACUUUGGUAUAACUUCAGGAAACUGGGGCUAAUACCGGAUAGGAGCUCCUGCUGCAUGGUGGGGGUUGGAUAGUUUCGGCGGUUGGGGAUGGACUCGCGGCUUAUCAGCUUGUUGGUGGGGUAGUGGCUUACCAAGGCUUUGACGGGUAGCCGGCCUGAGAGGGUGACCGGGCACAUUGGGACUGAGAUACGGCCCAGACUCCUACGGGAGGCAGCAGUGGGGAAUAUUGCACAAUGGGCGGAAGCCUGAUGCAGAAACGCCGCGUGCGGGAUGACGGCCUUCGGGUUGUAAACCGCUUUCGCCUGUGACGAAGCGUGAGUGACGGUAAUGGGUAAAGAAGCACCGGCUAACUACGUG